UACCCCUUCCCCCGGACCUCUCUGUGAUUCCGCUUUGCCUGCUGCCAGCCAGCCGUCCGUCCUUACGUCCGUCCGUCCACCGUUUGGAUCUAUGGUUGUGUCGGUGGAUUUCGUGACGUUAACCUGGCGGCCCUGAAAACGUUGGACUGACCGUACGAUUUCGACUACCCUUCGUCGGGGCGCGAAUGUAAAACGCGAGUGUUUUUUAAUCACCGUGCCCGCCGUUUAGGAAUACCCACGGAGUAGUUCGGAAAACACUGCCGGGCUGAUGCCGUUGCUGCUAUCGCCGCCACUACCGAGACACACGGGAAUGAAGCAGUACACCGAGAUGGAACGUUUGAACGCUCGAAAGUAAAUCGCGUAACGGUGUGAAGAGGAAGCCGUAAACGUAGCUGGGAUCUGUCCGCGACGAACGUUGGUCACUGGACAUCGUGUGGUUCGGAACGAGAUGCAGAAAAGAAAAGGAAGUGUUGCAGUGAAAACCGGCGGAAGCAACAGCUGUGAAUAGCAUUAAUAACUUUGAGAGAAGAGGAAGAAGCAGAAGAAGAAGAGAAGGAAGGAGAAGAAGGAGGAGGAGGAGAAGAAGAAAUAAAAGAAGAAGAACGUUGUUUCGGACCAUCGCUACCGUGCGACGGCUGAGCUGAGUGUGCGUGCGAGUAUCUCCGCGGACGGGUGUAUACGUAAAAACAUACAGUGUAUUUCUCGUUCUGCCAUCUUGAAAGUCAUCCAAUUUCUUUCUCCUGGUGGCGCUGGCACACGUGCGCGGGAAACGUGCACAGUGCGUGCAUCGUACACGCACUGUGCUACAAUUACGUCCGAGGGAACCUCUCCUCGCGGUUCAGGUGGAAUCGCGAAAUAACGGUUCAACGAGGGGUGCAAUAGGACCGUGAUGAAAACAAGCCUGCGGACGAGCUCGCAUCGUGACAGCAGCGAUAGGAGACGUGGCAGCGUCGACGGCAUCGUUGCUGGCGGGAUUCUGGCUAGAAACGAAAAUGACUUUACCGAGAACAAGGAAUCACCGCUGGAUUACAGAUAUAGUCAGCAAGUCGAGUGUGAACCACCACGUGGCAGUGACGAAAUCAUGGAGCGAUCACGUUUUCGCAAGAAGUCGUCCCUGGAACAACAACGGAAGAAAGAAAUUCGAAAGGUCGGUCGUCGAGUGGUGUGUUCGUCGAGUGUGUCACGGUAUACGAGUCGGUGUACAUGAACGCAUGAAAGUGUACGUGUAAAGAGGGGCGAAAGAGAGCGAGAGAGAAAGAGAGCGUGCGUGCGAGAGAGAAAGAGCGAGAGAGAGAGAGAAGAAAGAAAGAGGGAGAAAGAGAGAGAGAAGCAGCGAUUGACGACGACAGGAAGAUAACGAAGUGCGCGCGGAAGAAAGAAAGUGCGAGAGCGGUGAAGUAAGAAGGAAAUGAUAAACAAAAAGAAAGGGAUUUGAAGUCGAGCCAGUGUGGGAAGUAAAGUUCGCCGACGUACAGUAUAAUGUUGUGGAGUAGCGUGUCCCGUAAAAGUUUUUAACGUCGAUAUAGAAUUUAUAAAUAGAUCGGUUGGUGUACCCACGUAUGUGCACGCGUACGUAUGUGUGCGUGAUUACGCGCGCACAUGUACGUGAUUUUCACUCGAGACUGAAGCGGUGAAUUAUUCUUGUGCGGAUCGACCAACUCGUCGGGGAAAUUCGAGAUCCGGCUUACCUUCCGCAGCUGACGUCAUUACCGUACACAAUGCGUUAGGGGUGAUGGAGACAGUGGGCAAGCAAGUCCAGGUAGUGAGCGGACUGGGGGUGGGGGGUCCAGUGGGCCCUGUGGGUCCAGUGGGGGCAGAUUUGCAUCACCAUCAUCAUCCUCACCCCCACUCUCAUCCUCCACACCCACACGCCCACCCCCACGGUCAUACUCACGGGUCCCAUGGCCACUCUCUCGUCGGCGUAACGUCGACCCCCGGUAGGGGUCAGACCCAACCACCGGUCUCGCAUAACCAACAUUUACCCGCGAGAUCCACUCCAGUACAACUGCACAGGUAAGCUUGUAGGUGUGUUCGCUAUCGCACUCGCCAUUGCAUGACUUCUAUGUGUUCCCAACGUUGUAAUUAAAACGGCAACCGUUUUUCCGAAUCCCUCGAGCCGAGAACACGACUGGAGUUCGACCAAUGAACUGGAGUCACGAGGACUCAGUGAAUAUGCUAUUUCGAGGGAUCUUUGUCCAUUUUAGGAAGAGCAAAUGGUUACCGCGUCCUAUUCCUCAUGAAUGGUUGUUUACGAAGUUAAAUGCGAGAGGCGAGCCAAUGAUUCAAGUAAAUAGCCGAUAAAGUGUGUUAGAUAGUUUGACCGAAAUACGGUACUCGUAAUUAAAAAUUUGAAGCAUCAACUUUCAACUGUUAUGGAAAAGUAGGUCAAUCAAAACUUGACUAUAUGUACCGUUGUCUCAUUUAUAUUUUCAUUGUUCCUAGUUGAAUUAUAAAUAAUCUGAUUUGCAUCGGAUUUCUGCAAUUUAUACGCGUAAGUUGAAAUACGCGUGAGCAAAAGAUUGAAGUUGGGUACGUAAUGUAUAUACAGUUUACUGCGCAUGCGUUCUUCCAAUUUUACUACUACUGCUACCUGUCGAUUCUAACCUCAAACGUCAACGUGCAACGUUGAUUUUUAACCUCACAAGGUUUACCUUUUGUAUUUAUAGUCUAUUAAAUAGUACACAUGCACGGUUCUGCAGUACAUCUUAAUAGAAAUAUCGAAGUGAAACUGUGAAUUUUGGAAUACAGCAAUGUAUUGGACGAGCAAAUGGAGAAUGUUCGCGGAAAGGAAAAAUUCCUUUGAAACUCGAGGUUGCCCGCUUGCAUGAUGAACAUACAUCAGAAUGCACACAAUUGCAACAAUUGGUGUACUCUUACACAAAUAAUGUUUCGUGGAUUAGUUUUCGAUCAGCUUCAGGAUUCUUCAAAGCUAAUUGUUUUCCUACAAUUCAUACUUACUCCAAAGCCCAUAACCUUGUACAAAAGGGUUUUUAAGUAUAAACAACUUUCACUAAAAAUUUUGAUUAACCUUAUCUAUCCUUAUUAUAAUUGAGUAAAAGAUUUAUAGUUAGAACUUCUAAUAUUUAACAUAUAAUGAUUAUCAUGAUAGGUGCAGAGCGUGAAUGAAAUAAUUUAUACAACGCGGGAAAAUAAGUUAGGUUAGGUUCGCCGUGAGAAGUGUACAAACGAAAAGAGAAACGAAGCAAUGUCCUAUAUGUAUGUAUAUAUUGAGAUUCUGAUCAUAGUAAAUCCACAAA
This is a non-coding RNA of Nomia melanderi (Alkali bee), 3257 nucleotides long. Lineage: Eukaryota; Metazoa; Arthropoda; Insecta; Hymenoptera; Halictidae. The record is from RefSeq and is a predicted model, not a curated record.